UGCAGUCGAGCGGACAGAAGGGAGCUUGCUCCCGGAUGUUAGCGGCGGACGGGUGAGUAACACGUGGGUAACCUGCCUGUAAGACUGGGAUAACUCCGGGAAACCGGAGCUAAUACCGGAUAGUUCCUUGAACCGCAUGGUUCAAGGAUGAAAGACGGUUUCGGCUGUCACUUACAGAUGGACCCGCGGCGCAUUAGCUAGUUGGUGAGGUAACGGCUCACCAAGGCGACGAUGCGUAGCCGACCUGAGAGGGUGAUCGGCCACACUGGGACUGAGACACGGCCCAGACUCCUACGGGAGGCAGCAGUAGGGAAUCUUCCGCAAUGGACGAAAGUCUGACGGAGCAACGCCGCGUGAGUGAUGAAGGUUUUCGGAUCGUAAAGCUCUGUUGUUAGGGAAGAACAAGUGCAAGAGUAACUGCUUGCACCUUGACGGUACCUAACCAGAAAGCCACGGCUAACUACGUGCCAGCAGCCGCGGUAAUACGUAGGUGGCAAGCGUUGUCCGGAAUUAUUGGGCGUAAAGGGCUCGCAGGCGGUUUCUUAAGUCUGAUGUGAAAGCCCCCGGCUCAACCGGGGAGGGUCAUUGGAAACUGGGAAACUUGAGUGCAGAAGAGGAGAGUGGAAUUCCACGUGUAGCGGUGAAAUGCGUAGAGAUGUGGAGGAACACCAGUGGCGAAGGCGACUCUCUGGUCUGUAACUGACGCUGAGGAG
This 713-nucleotide ribosomal RNA is filed under the name Bacillus aerophilus. RNAcentral's name for it is "bacterial SSU rRNA". It matches the Rfam family "Bacterial small subunit ribosomal RNA", at positions 56 to 753 of the family's 1533-position model. The record is from RNAcentral. Lineage: Bacteria; Bacillati; Bacillota; Bacilli; Caryophanales; Bacillaceae.